GUAUAGGGCACACCACCCUGAAUGUGCCUGAUCUCAUCUGAUCUUGGAGGCUAAGCAGGGCUGGGCCUGGUAAGUGCUUGGAUGGGAGAUCUCCUGGGAAUACCGGGUGCUGUAGACU
This is a ribosomal RNA of Gorilla gorilla gorilla (western lowland gorilla), 118 nucleotides long. The record is from Ensembl. NCBI's taxonomy places the organism in Eukaryota, Metazoa, Chordata, Mammalia, Primates, Hominidae.